Molecule: transfer RNA, 72 nt
Filed under: Microcaldota archaeon
Lineage: Archaea; Nanobdellati; Microcaldota
Description: tRNA-Ala
Rfam family: tRNA
About the family: Transfer RNA (tRNA) molecules are approximately 80 nucleotides in length. Their secondary structure includes four short double-helical elements and three loops (D, anti-codon, and T loops).
Source: RNAcentral
GGGCCCUUAGCGCAGCAGUAGCGCGUUUCGUUCGCAACGAAAAGGUCGCGGGUGCGAAUCCCGCAGGGUCCA